This is a long non-coding RNA of Austrofundulus limnaeus, 861 nucleotides long. RefSeq lists it as uncharacterized. The record is from RefSeq and is a predicted model, not a curated record. Lineage: Eukaryota; Metazoa; Chordata; Actinopteri; Cyprinodontiformes; Rivulidae. The transcript has 2 exons.
GGCAAUUGGGCAACUGCCCAGGGGCCCACGGUCUCUAAAGGGCCCUGGGCAGUGAAGGCACGGACAUAAUGGAUGGGGGAUAUGCGUGGACUUGUCUCCCUGCACUUCCUGCAUCUGUGCUCUAUGUCUCCCGCACUUUUCUCAGCCGUUACAGCUGUUUUAUCCAUUAUUAACACAUGGCAAUGCGUUUUCCUGAGCCGUCUUUGAACGCACCAUAAGCGUGCGCAAGCUACUCCUGUAGAUGACUGAUAGGAGACGUUCUUCUGACCACCUGCCUUCUGAGCAGAGCCUCCCGGUGUAAAGAGCAACUAAAACUUCACACAGUUUUUACCAAACAAACCAUAAGUCAUGCUGGCUGCUUUCCACAUAUUUAAAAUAAAUCUUCAUUGCCACAGAACAAGGUCAGGGAGGAGACAGACCAGAUAGCCUACAGCAGCAGGGAUCAUAAUGCAGACUUUCCUCAGGUAAGGAGAAAUUAUGAGUAAUAUUCUUGAAGAGGAACAGUCUUUAACAACUGGUGUAAAGUUUGAAGUCUCUACUUUUGACAUAAUGUGUAACAGAGUCUCAGAGAAUUAACCACAGAAAGAUGGAGGUUAAAUCACGACUAGAUCACAUGUUGUUGAGAAACCAGACAGGUAUCAGGACAGGUUCACAGAUAUUUCAGAAGUACUCUUCAUACUCCAAAAUAUUAUUUUAUUAUUGUUUCUACUUUGGGCCAAAAUAAACCUAGAGUUUAUAAUAUUAUUUUGUUAUUUACCGGUAGUUAACAAAGAGAUGAUUGAUAGUCUUAGUUCAAAAGCAAAAACUGACAUGGAUGUUUAAAGAUGUAGUUUCAUUUUUGUUUAUUAUGUAGAUGUAUGA